GAGAAAUCAGUGCUUUUUCGAGUUUGGAUCCGCGCAGAAAGAAGGAACUUUGGGCUAGCUGAAUCACAACCAGAAAUAGAUGAGUGCUAUGAAGAAAUGCUAGCAGAACUUGCUCAAGAAACAUCUUCACCCGGAAGUGGUGAUGAACAAGCUUCAUUUCCACCACCGCCAACACAACCACCUCUAAACCUUGAAGGUUUUAUGAGAUUUGUUGGAAAUAAUACAUAAAUUAUGAUGUAACUUGUACAUUGGCAUGUCUUCUAUUAGUUUUUUUUUCUUUUAGUGGUGGUAUUAGUACCAUGUUGUGCUCAUUCCAUUGGGGGAAGGAAGACUAAGAAANNN
Molecule: long non-coding RNA, 342 nt
Filed under: Nicotiana benthamiana
Lineage: Eukaryota; Viridiplantae; Streptophyta; Magnoliopsida; Solanales; Solanaceae
Description: long non-coding RNA (NBEN_LNC009504)
Source: RNAcentral